RNAcentral lists this ribosomal RNA (465 nucleotides) under Vreelandella stevensii. RNAcentral describes it as "partial 16S ribosomal RNA". It matches the Rfam family "Bacterial small subunit ribosomal RNA", at positions 338 to 795 of the family's 1533-position model. Lineage: Bacteria; Pseudomonadati; Pseudomonadota; Gammaproteobacteria; Oceanospirillales; Halomonadaceae. The record is from RNAcentral.
CCUACGGGGGGCUGCAGUGGGGAAUAUUGGACAAUGGGGGGAACCCUGAUCCAUCCAUGCCGCGUGUGUGAAGAAGGCCCUCGGGUUGUAAAGCACUUUCAGUGAGGAAGAACGCCUGGUGGUGAAUACCCAUCAGGAAAGACAUCACUCACAGAAGAAGCACCGGCUAACUCCGUGACAGCAGCCGCGGUAAUACGGAGGGUGCGAGCGUUAAUCGGAAUUACUGGGCGUAAAGCGCGCGUAGGUGGCUUGAUAAGCCGGUUGUGAAAGCCCCGGGCUCAACCUGGGAACGGCAUCCGGAACUGUCAAGCUAGAGUGCAGGAGAGGAAGGUAGAAUUCCCGGUGUAGCGGUGAAAUGCGUAGAGAUCGGGAGGAAUACCAGUGGCGAAGGCGGCCUUCUGGCCUGACACUGACACUGAGGUGCGAAAGCGUGGGUAGCAAACAGGAUUAGAUACCCGGGUAGUC